GCCCCCGUAGCUCAGGAGGAUAGAGCACAGGAUUCCUAAUCCUGGUGUCGCAGGUUCGAAUCCUGCCGGGGGCACCA
This 77-nucleotide transfer RNA is filed under the name Desulfacinum hydrothermale DSM 13146. RNAcentral's name for it is "tRNA_Arg_CCT". It matches the Rfam family "tRNA". Rfam says of the family: Transfer RNA (tRNA) molecules are approximately 80 nucleotides in length. The record is from RNAcentral. RNAcentral also lists the same sequence under 2 other names. Lineage: Bacteria; Pseudomonadati; Thermodesulfobacteriota; Syntrophobacteria; Syntrophobacterales; Syntrophobacteraceae.